This 282-nucleotide unclassified non-coding RNA is filed under the name uncultured fungus. RNAcentral describes it as "partial contains small subunit ribosomal RNA, internal transcribed spacer 1, and 5.8S ribosomal RNA". The stretch from base 1 to 73 matches the Rfam family "Eukaryotic small subunit ribosomal RNA", at positions 1759 to 1831 of the family's 1831-position model. The record is from RNAcentral. Lineage: Eukaryota; Fungi.
UCAAACUUGGUCAUUUAGAGGAAGUAAAAGUCGUAACAAGGUUUCCGUAGGUGAACCUGCGGAAGGAUCAUUAACAGAUUUUCAAUAAUCCAUAUUCAUCUUGUGUGCAAUUUUUAAUAAUGUCUUUCGGAAAGAUUAUUUUUUACAAUAAUCUUUCCAAAGAGGUUAUUAUAAUCAAUCUAUUUUUCUUUCUUUACCAUGUCUAAAACUACAUAUAUCUAAAAUAAAAAAAUAACUUUCAACAACAGAUCUCUUGGCUCUCGCAUCGAUGAAGAACGCAGC